AGUCGAGCGGAUGAGAGAGCUUGCUCUCUGAUUUAGCGGCGGACGGGUGAGUAAUGCCUAGGAAUCUGCCUGGUAGUGGGGGAUAACGUUCCGAAAGGAACGCUAAUACCGCGUACGUCCUACGGGAGAAAGCAGGGGACCUUCGGGCCUUGCGCUAUCAGAUGAGCCUAGGUCGGAUUAGCUAGUUGGUGAGGUAAUGGCUCACCAAGGCGACGAUCCGUAACUGGUCUGAGAGGAUGAUCAGUCACACUGGAACUGAGACACGGUCCAGACUCCUACGGGAGGCAGCAGUGGGGAAUAUUGGACAAUGGGCGAAAGCCUGAUCCAGCCAUGCCGCGUGUGUGAAGAAGGUCUUCGGAUUGUAAAGCACUUUAAGUUGGGAGGAAGGGCAGUAAGUUAAUACCUUGCUGUUUUGACGUUACCGACAGAAUAAGCACCGGCUAACUUCGUGCCAGCAGCCGCGGUAAUACGAAGGGUGCAAGCGUUAAUCGGAAUUACUGGGCGUAAAGCGCGCGUAGGUGGUUCGUUAAGUUGGAUGUGAAAGCCCCGGGCUCAACCUGGGAACUGCAUCCAAAACUGGCGAGCUAGAGUACGGUAGAGGGUGGUGGAAUUUCCUGUGUAGCGGUGAAAUGCGUAGAUAUAGGAAGGAACACCAGUGGCGAAGGCGACCACCUGGACUGAUACUGACACUGAGGUGCGAAAGCGUGGGGAGCAAACAGGAUUAGAUACCCUGGUAGUCCACGCCGUAAACGAUGUCAACUAGCCGUUGGAAUCCUUGAGAUUUUAGUGGCGCAGCUAACGCAUUAAGUUGACCGCCUGGGGAGUACGGCCGCAAGGUUAAACUCAAAUGAAUUGACGGGGGCCCGCACAAGCGGGGGAGCAUGUGGUUUAAUUCGAAGC
Molecule: ribosomal RNA, 900 nt
Filed under: Ectopseudomonas mendocina
Lineage: Bacteria; Pseudomonadati; Pseudomonadota; Gammaproteobacteria; Pseudomonadales; Pseudomonadaceae
Description: bacterial SSU rRNA
Rfam family: Bacterial small subunit ribosomal RNA
Source: RNAcentral